Molecule: long non-coding RNA, 629 nt
Organism: Stegodyphus dumicola
Lineage: Eukaryota; Metazoa; Arthropoda; Arachnida; Araneae; Eresidae
Source: RefSeq, a predicted model, not a curated record
AUUCCUGUUCUUCAAAAACCAUUAUCCCACAUAAACAGAAAACAGGAUGACACUAUAUUAUCUGCUGCAGAUAAGAGGCAGAAGUUCCAUGAAAGCCGACUACGUGUUGCUCCAUCAUGUACAUUUAGCGAUUCCUCUAUUCCUCAACAGCAGAAGGCUGAAUCUUACAAAAAUGUUUUGCCAUGGUGGGAGGCAAAUUAUGUGACAAAUGUUAAUAUACCACUUGGGUCUGCCAUUAAUACUUGCCACAAAAGUAUUUUACCUCCAAUAAAAGCUGUGAGCUCAGUAAGAUCAGGUGUACCGAAUGUACCACAAGGAAAGAAGAAAUGUCUUCUUGGUGAAAUCACUCACUUUCCUGCUCUUUGCAAUGGUACUACUUCUAAACAUCGGAAAAUUCCUCAUUUUAAUACUGUCCCUCAUUUACCAGCAAUUUUAUCUCCACCUGCUGCUCCUCCACCAAGUAUUUCAAGUUCAUUGGAACAAGAUGGAAAUAAGGGAUAGAAAAAUUUCAAAUAAAGCUUGGUUCUUUUCUGUCAGAUCACUUUGAAUAAGACAGGGUUGCCACUCAAACAGGAGAAUGAAAUUCCCCGACUUUUCCAGGUUUUCCAGGUGCGUUUCAAGAAAAUUCC